This 580-nucleotide long non-coding RNA is filed under the name Urocitellus parryii (Arctic ground squirrel). Its description in RNAcentral is "lncRNA (ENSUPAG00010023092.1)". Lineage: Eukaryota; Metazoa; Chordata; Mammalia; Rodentia; Sciuridae. The record is from RNAcentral.
UACUAAUGUUCAAGCUAAGGAAAAAGUACCCUCUUUCUGACAUGCAAACUGAAGAUGGACCACAGGGAAGGUGGUACUAUGUACAAGCUGUUGCUCCUGGAAAAGAAGGCCUGGUCUCCAUCAGGUGGCGAGUGAUAAAAUCUAAACAUCACAUUCCUAAAAGGAUAUGCAAUAUCACAUUCAGCCUAGGCAACUGCAUUCCUCUCCUGGUCAGCUGAACUCUGCGGCAUGAUCUUAAGCUUUGGCUAUUUGAGAGGUGUGCAAAGUGUGACUGCCUCUGGAGUGAAGAGGAGGCCUCACCAGGGAAAUCCCAAGAAGUGCACCUCAGUAGUUCAGAAACCCUGUCUGCAGUUCCUCUUAUCAUGGGAGAAGUUCUGGACCGAAGUUUUCAAGCACUAUUUAUUGUAUAUAUUUUCAAGCAUCUGGUCAAAAAGAUUAUUACAAAAUUACACAUCUUUAUUUUGCAGUGUACAAGAUAAAACUAUUCAUAGUACAUGAGUGAUAUAAUUUUUGUUUUUAUUUAGAAGGAUUUUAAUAAUGGAGUUUGUGGUUCUAUAUUAGACUUCAUCCAUAUAUGAAG